Molecule: long non-coding RNA, 964 nt
Organism: Scylla paramamosain (green mud crab)
Lineage: Eukaryota; Metazoa; Arthropoda; Malacostraca; Decapoda; Portunidae
Exons: 3
Source: RefSeq, a predicted model, not a curated record
UCUCUCUGCCGAUAAAAAAGGCCAGCCCUCCCCUAGAAGGAGGCACCUGCAACAUCAAGUUUUAGUUCAGAGGCUACAUAAAGAUCAAGAUCAUCCUGAUCCCCGAGGCCCGGGCGCACGCGCGUCAUGUAAACAAAGUACAAACAUACUCCCACAGUCCCACAGCCUGCCCUACACGACCCCAGCAAACACACAAGAACAAGCUAUAGAGCUACAUCGUCGAUACCCUUACAACUACAAGCUAUAGCAAAUUUCUACAGAUAUUUUGUCAGAUUUGGUCAGAUUAUGCAUAAUUCAGUCUGGCAACACUGCCAAGGCAUCCAGUCUCCCAGCAAGUGCCAAGAGGCAUUCAUUCAAUGCUCCGCUGACACCAAUUUGCCCAAAGUGAGCUGAGGGUCGGUGAAGCGCACAAGUGGGUCAGCAUUCUCAUACCAGAACCGGUCACAGCAGCGGAGGUUCCUGAACUGAAUGCCGAGGAUGCAGCCGAACGUGGGACCGACCAGUCCACCGUGCAGCGGCGUCUCAAUCAAUCCACCAGUGAACAGAUCUAUGUCAUCCACGUGUGCGUACGUCCGUUUCAUUCGCUCGAUCACCGGCCUCGCUAUCUCCCUGUGCAGGUCAUCAAACGACCUCGCCCUGGUCAGGUUACAGAGGGCCCUGUACUCAUUGUAAGGCUGCAGUCCAUGGUCUCUGCCUCGCUGGAUGUUGAGGGCAGCCAGGUCCAGGCCAGAGAAUGGCUGCCGCUUGUCUUCAAAGAGAUGGUUGGUCACCUCAUCUGUCAAGAACUGGUCCAGUGUCUCCAUGGACACAGUAGUCAGGCCGCGGAUGAUCUCAUCAAGCAUCCCAGGCUGGUAGAGUAGGUCUGGGUUGAAGAAGUGUUCGCUCAGCUUGACAGGAGGGUUGCGCUUGGCAAAUAUUCCGUCCAUGCGCUCCAGGGAAGGCUUGAGUAGAGAGUGGCCAAAGC